GAUGAACGCUGGCGGCGCGCCUAACACAUGCAAGUCGAACGAUUAAAGCACCUUCGGGUGUGUAUAAAGUGGCGAACGGCUGAGUAACACGUGGGCAACCUGCCCCUCUCAUUGGGAUAGCCACGGGAAACCGUGGAUAAUACCGCAUACUUCGGGACUUCCGCAUGGAAGACUCGAGAAAGCUCCGGCGGAGAGGGAUGGGCCCGCGGCCUGUUAGCUUGUUGGGGGGGUAAUGGCCUACCAAGGCAAUGAUGGGUAGCUGGGUUGAGAGAGCGACCAGCCAGAUUGGGACUGAGACACGGCCCAGACUCCUACGGGAGGCAGCAGUGGGGAAUCUUGCACAAUGGGCGAAAGCCUGAUGCAGCGACGCCGCGUGCGGGAUGAAGGCCUUCGGGUUGUAAACCGCUUUCAGCAGGGACGAGGCGAAAGUGACGGUACCUGCAGAAGAAGCCCCGGCUAACUACGUG
RNAcentral lists this ribosomal RNA (467 nucleotides) under uncultured bacterium. RNAcentral's name for it is "partial 16S ribosomal RNA". It matches the Rfam family "Bacterial small subunit ribosomal RNA", at positions 28 to 507 of the family's 1533-position model. The record is from RNAcentral.